RNAcentral lists this ribosomal RNA (254 nucleotides) under Boophis quasiboehmei. Its description in RNAcentral is "partial 16S ribosomal RNA". It matches the Rfam family "Archaeal large subunit ribosomal RNA", at positions 2032 to 2379 of the family's 2987-position model. The record is from RNAcentral. Lineage: Eukaryota; Metazoa; Chordata; Amphibia; Anura; Mantellidae.
GGUAGCAUAAUCACUUGUUCUUUAAAUGAGGACUAGUAUCAACGGCAUCACGAGGAUCCUACUGUCUCCCCCCUCUAAUCAGUGAAACUGAUCUCCCCGUGAAGAAGCGGGGAUAUACAUAUAAGACGAGAAGACCCCAUGGAGCUUUAAACCUGACAGCACCCGCUCAUUCUAUACCCCAUUAUUUGCCCGACCCCUGUCUGCUCAGUUUUAGGUUGGGGUGACCACGGAGUAUAAAAUAACCUCCAUGAAGA